This is a long non-coding RNA of Odontomachus brunneus, 335 nucleotides long. RefSeq lists it as uncharacterized. The transcript is spliced from 3 exons. Lineage: Eukaryota; Metazoa; Arthropoda; Insecta; Hymenoptera; Formicidae. The record is from RefSeq and is a predicted model, not a curated record.
GCAAAGAUUCCCUGCAAAAUCAGUUAAAUGUAGUGAAGCCAUUUUUAAUCGUUGACGAAUCUCCUUCGACAAGUUCUUCACGAGCUUUUAUCAAAACAAAAACAAAGAAAAAGCAAGAGAUAUCAUCAGCAGAAAAUGUACUUCCUUCAACAUCAAUCGCAAUGCUUCCAGUUAUAAAUGAAGAGACGACAGCCGAGAUUUUGAACGUACAACCGAUUUCAGUGAAUGGGACAGAUUACAUCGACUAAAAAUUUCAACAGCUCCAGAAAGAACUUACAAACCAAAUUUUAUCCGUCAAAAGAAGUAUUUUGUACGAUUUUGAUAAGAAGAUAAAC